RNAcentral lists this ribosomal RNA (440 nucleotides) under uncultured bacterium. RNAcentral's name for it is "bacterial SSU rRNA". It matches the Rfam family "Bacterial small subunit ribosomal RNA", at positions 338 to 794 of the family's 1533-position model. The record is from RNAcentral.
CCUACGGGAGGCAGCAGUGGGGAAUAUUGGCCAAUGGGGGCGAACCCUGAUCCAGCCAUGCCGCGUGAGUGAAGAAGGCCUUAGGGUUGUAAAGCUCUUUCACCGGGGAAGAUAAUGACGGUACUCGGAGAAGAAGCCCCGGCUAACUCCGUGCCAGCAGCCGCGGUAAUACGGAGGGGGCAAGCGUUGUUCGGAUUUACUGGGCGUAAAGCGCGCGUAGGCGGUUUGUUAAGUUGGGGGUGAAAGCCCGGGGCUCAACCCCGGAACUGCGUUCGAAACUGGCAGGCUAGAGUUCGGGAGAGGAGAGUGGAAUUCCCAGUGUAGAGGUGAAAUUCGUAGAUAUCGGGAAGAACACCAGUGGCGAAGGCGGCCACCUGGACCGAUACUGACGCUGAAGUGCGAAAGCGUGGGGAGCAAACAGGAUUAGAUACCCUGGUAGA